Long non-coding RNA from Prinia subflava (tawny-flanked prinia), 2787 nucleotides. RefSeq lists it as uncharacterized. The record is from RefSeq and is a predicted model, not a curated record. The transcript has 5 exons. NCBI's taxonomy places the organism in Eukaryota, Metazoa, Chordata, Aves, Passeriformes, Cisticolidae.
AGACUGUUCGUAUGGCCUGGAGUGUGGACAGUGUGUAAUUUAUCAAUUGAAAAAAUUAUUUGUCCUUAAGGAGAACUGAAAUGAAAAGCUGUAAAUUAGAGCCUUUAGCUAGGAUCUCAUGUGGAGGCAGAAUGUGUAUUCAAGACAGAAGCGGCGCUUAGGGAACAGGUAUUUCAGACCUAUCUAACGCAAUAUGCUUCAGUGAGUCAAAAAGCUGGAAUCAAGGAAAAUGUUCAGGCAGAGCAGAUACUGCAAAGAGGUGGCAAAGCCUCAGCAUUACAUGGCCCAAUGGCAAUUCUGUUGCAUUAGGUCUAUUUUGCUACUUUAAAACAACUUCCAAUUACACUGCAAUCAAAGAAGAAAUCCCCUAAAACAGCAGUUCUAUUUCAUCAGAAAUGUUCCAGACCAAUAUGCAGUAAUUUAAUCAAAUAGAACUGAACUUCAAUAAUAAAACCUUUGCCCUGAAGAAAAUAUCAAUAGGCAAAUGCAGCAUUUGCAAGACACCUUUUGUGCCCAUGGGAAAAGACCAGGAUUGAGGAUAGUUUUUAAAUUUUGACUGUCGCAACUUUUUUCUGUGACCUUUCAUAAGACAUCCCACACAGGUCCACAGCUCACUUAAGAUUUAACAGAAGAAUACAUUUGCACCAUGAUUUUUCACAAGUGGAUCCACCUGCAAGAUGCUCACUAACUAUGGGCUGAAAGGGGAGAAGUCGACAGACCACACCACAGGAAUUAUUUCAAAUGAAAUCAUCACUAGUGGGGAAAACAAACACAGAGAGACUACUGAAAGAAUCAAAUCCAAAGGGUCUUAAUUCUUCUGCAAACACAGUUUCAGCCAAGUCCAUGGAAAGUCAUUCUAGGAAAAGAUAAGCAAAAACUAAGAAGGGGCAAAAUUUGGGCCAGAAUAUAUAGAACACUGUGACAAAUCUAGGUGAGAAAGAGGAACCCACCAAGGGUGAGGAGAUGGAGGGAAAAUACACUGCGAAAUGCACGAAAGCUUUCCUUAGGCCAGACCAAAUGAGAAAGAAUGCAUAUGCCACACUGCCUGAAUGCCACCCACUUGUCAUUUGUUCCACGGGCUUCCUCUAUGUUUAGCAGCUCUGUUCCAAAGUACAAUCCAUAGCUGGAAUAAGCUCCCCAUCACAGGAUCCACUGAUACAAUCAGAGAGGGGAGGGAGCAAAAGAAAUAUGUGUCAUUGAAUGUAUGAAAGUGAACAAGUUAUGUAAGAUAAUACAAUCUGUUUGAUCCAAAUAUUUUACAUUCAGCAUCUAUAGAAACAACUUGCAAGUGAUUAUGUACGAACGCAGAUUAUAAACCACAGAGUUGGUGCUUGCCAGAAAUGAGUGGCAGCACAUCACAGGCGUUAGUGCUCUGCUGCCAAGAAACAAGCAGCAACUCAAGUCCCAGUUUUCUGAAACAGAUUUCAUUUUGCAAAAAUAGCUUUUGUACAAUCAGUUCAGUUUUAUUUAUCUGCAAUAUCUUGUGACCGGGUCGCACAGCAAUCUCUGGUGUUGCCAGACCUCUGCCUACAAGGGGUUCCAGGAAAAUCUUUGGUAGCAUGAGCUUUUUUAGCUGCAUUUAAUUAGGCACCAUCUCUUGCCCUCAGGGUACAGCUGCAUUAGACAGACCCAGCCAGAUGUGAACUAGCUCCCUGCAUUCUCCAAGCUGGUCAAGUGCAAGCAGAUCCUGGUCUGGAUGUCAGAGGGCCAGUGUGGAUGCACGACUCGGCAGAAUCAGAAUCAGCAGGAGAGGAGUUUCACCCAGGCAGAGGCAGCAGGGCUCAUCCUGGCCACUGGCAUCGGUCAGUGCUGCCAAAGCAGGCUCACAGAAACCUGGACUGCUUCUGGCCAGCACAGCUGGCCAAAAGAGAACCGUGCUAGCUGGAUGGUAUUCCUGAGGGUAUAAACUGUCCCAAACCACUUGCUUUCCAGCAGUGAGCCCCAAAGCUUCUUAGGAAUAUACUUUUGAACUGCAAACCCAAAAUGAGAGGUAUUAAAGCAUUUUUGCUCAUCUUCUCCUGACCCAGAUGCUCAAGGAACAAAGCAGCAGAAUUGUUACUCUCUCAUAUGACUAGUCUCCAGUGAUGUGGCCACCCCAUGGACAGAAGGUUACAGGGAAUCAUAUCUAAUUAGCAGUGGAAAACACUUAGGAGUUGCCUGAUGCUCUAGAGGCCCAAAACAGAAUUUCCCCAAGGGUUUUUUAAAGCAAAGCACUGCAAUCCUCAGCUGCUUGUACAGAUCAGUCAGCCAGGAUUUACAGCAGCUAUCUCAAGAGGAGCUGGACUUGCCCGACAACACUGCUGACAGUAAGGAAGUUGAUUAUAUGUCAAGUACAACAAAUGCACUGUUACAUGGCAUGGGCUUCCUCUGCAUUUGAACUUAAACACUGCUCUCUCUUCCUUUUGACCCGCACUAUAUAUUUACACAUAUGUUUACACGUGCUCAAGACUGCUGUUUUAUACAGAUCUCCAAACUUGGAAUUUGAGCAGUACUCCAUCAGAAAUUAGGCACUUGGUAUAUUGAAAAACAAGUUCAAAAAAACUCAAAUCACGUCUGAGAGUUAUUUAAGAGAGUAAGUAUUUAAAGACACAUAUUGUCACUCUUUUGCUGAGCUCCAAGCACAAGAAAAUAAAGUAAAAGUUUCCAAUAUAUUCCAGCAAUUUGUGUCUUAGAAGCCAAACUUUUAAUGUGUUUGUGGAACGUAUCCUCUGAGAUUGCAAAAGACCGAGGCAGGGGGGAGUGUUUAACACAGCCCAGAAUUACUCCAGCAUCACCUCUGGUGUCACA